UACAGAGGGCGCGAGCGUUGACCGGAAUCACUGGGCGUAAAGGGCGCGUAGGUGGCCACCAUAAGGCCGCGGUGAAAGUCUGGAGCUCAACUCCAGAUCUGCCGCGGCGACUGUGGGGCUUGGGCACCGUAGAGGCAGAUGGAAUUCCGGGUGUAGCGGUGGAAUGCGUAGAGAUCCGGAGGAAGACCGGUGGCGAAGGCGGUCUGCUGGGCAGUUUCUGACACUGAGGCGCGACAGCGUGGGGAGCAAACAGG
RNAcentral lists this ribosomal RNA (254 nucleotides) under uncultured bacterium. Its description in RNAcentral is "partial 16S ribosomal RNA". It matches the Rfam family "Bacterial small subunit ribosomal RNA", at positions 524 to 776 of the family's 1533-position model. The record is from RNAcentral.